UGGGGGAUAUUGCACAAUGGGCGAAAGCCUGAUGCAGCGACGCCGCGUGAGGGAAGACGGCCUUCGGGUUGUAAACCUCUGUCAUUCGGGACGAAGAAAGUGACGGUACCGAAGAAGGAAGCUCCGGCUAACUACGUGCCAGCAGCCGCGGUAAUACGUAGGGAGCGAGCGUUGUCCGGAAUUACUGGGUGUAAAGGGAGCGUAGGCGGGAAAGCAAGUUGGAAGUGAAAUGCAUGGGCUCAACCCAUGAGCUGCUUUCAAAACUGUUUUUCUUGAGUGAAGUAGAGGCAGGCGGAAUUCCUAGUGUAGCGGUGAAAUGCGUAGAUAUUAGGAGGAACACCAGUGGCGAAGGCGGCCUGCUGGGCUUUAACUGACGCUGAGGCUCGAAAGCGUGGGUAGCAAACAG
This 406-nucleotide ribosomal RNA is filed under the name uncultured bacterium. RNAcentral describes it as "bacterial SSU rRNA". It matches the Rfam family "Bacterial small subunit ribosomal RNA", at positions 355 to 775 of the family's 1533-position model. The record is from RNAcentral.